This 253-nucleotide ribosomal RNA is filed under the name uncultured bacterium. RNAcentral's name for it is "partial 16S ribosomal RNA". It matches the Rfam family "Bacterial small subunit ribosomal RNA", at positions 524 to 776 of the family's 1533-position model. The record is from RNAcentral.
UACGGAGGGAGCUAGCGUUGUUCGGAAUUACUGGGCGUAAAGCGCGCGUAGGCGGCUUUGUAAGUUAGAGGUGAAAGCCUGGAGCUCAAGUUCAGAAUUGCCUUUAAGACUGCAUCGCUUGAAUCCGGGAGAGGUGAGUGGAAUUCCGAGUGUAGAGGUGAAAUUCGUAGAUAUUCGGAAGAACACCAGUGGCGAAGGCGGCUCACUGGACCGGCAUUGACGCUGAGGUGCGAAAGCGUGGGGAGCAAACAGG